This 267-nucleotide long non-coding RNA is filed under the name Phoenix dactylifera (date palm). RNAcentral describes it as "long non-coding RNA (PDAC_LNC009618)". The record is from RNAcentral. Lineage: Eukaryota; Viridiplantae; Streptophyta; Magnoliopsida; Arecales; Arecaceae.
ACCUCGUUACAUUUUUUGUGUUUGCUUUGCUAUUUUCUUCUUUCUUCUUCCUUUGAUCUUUGAUAAUCCGUUGCGGUGCUCAAGUGUUUUAUCCUACUGAUACCACGGGGUAAUCUUUUGCCCUUCGUAGGCGGAGCGAAGAGGUGAUCCUUGAGUCCGGAGUCGAGGGAGCGAGAGAGUGCUUAUCCGUUUGUAUCUCUCUUGCUUGUCCGACGUCGGUGGCGGCGCUGGUGUGAGUGGGUUCCGGUGCGGGGCGCCGACAACAAU